AAGAAUAUAUAGUUCCAUUAAAAAACUUAUUUUGACUUUGAAAUCCCCUCUCCCUAAUAUUCCAGGCUCGAAAAAAAUUACAUCAUAUGAUUGUACCCUACAAACCGAACAAUUUUUGUAAAUAAAUUUGUUUCGUAACUUCAGUGCGUCACGAGAUAUUUACUUUGCUAGAUAAACGAAACACACUGUAUGUAAUAAUUAAUUCACGUAACACACCGUUCCAUAACGAUCGGAAUGAUGUAAUAAUUUGGAGAGAACGAAAUAUUCUUUCGAUUUAUUUAUAAUACUGCGUUUUUAAUCGUGAACCAUUAUUCAACUAAAACGUUGGCCAUCUCUGGCCCACCAGAGCAAUUACAACGUCUUCGAUCGACGAUUGCAGGUUCUAAGCGAUGUUGUUGGUUACGCAAGAUGACACUUGCGCAUUAUCUAUGAAAGUGCAAACGCGAGUCGAGCACGCAACGACAGAUCUCAAAGUUUCCACUAGUACUUAUUAAAAAGCUGUAAAUCAUUGGAACCGUAUCGACGUCGACGUAAUUACGGCAAAAAAAAAAUAAAGGUCAACGCGAACAUAAUCGUAAUCGUUUCGUUAUCAACGCCACGUAGCCGGCAACGAUGAACGAUUCAGCUCGAAGGCGAUAUAAACUGGCGAUUCCGUGUGGUGUCAUUUGCCGCGCAGUUGCGAUGUCGGAUAAGUUAAUGCGGAUAAUUUGAAUUUUCAAGUCUCACUGGAACUGCGCGAGCACGCGAGAAACAUGUAUGUAUGUAUGUACAUACGAUCGCCUUGCGACCAGGCAAAACAUCGAUACCGUGCGCGCGAUACGAAAGAUCUACCGCCGAUUAAAACUCCUCGAUCAUCGACGAGGCAAACACUGUGUCGAGUGUACAAACGAAAUUCUCAAUAUUUUUAAUCAUUAAUAAAAAAACUUUUGGCCUUGAAAAUGCCUUGACUUCAACUUCAAAUAAUAAAAAUACAGAGAAAGUGUAAUAUGAUAUAUGGACGAAUACAAUAUAAGAUUGGUGUGAUUCUUCGAUGUGGUGGCUACGAGCAGACAUACGACUAGAACGGUAAAAAAGCUUUGGUGGUUGAGAGUAGACAUACGAUCCCAAAUCUUUGUGGAUGUGUGAUACAACUUUGGAAAAAGGUUACACGCCGGGUACUUAUCGUUAAAAGCACGCGAAUUAAUCGAGCUUUUAUCGAACGUCAAAGAAUCCAAAAAUUCUGGUUAUGUUUGCCGAAGCUAUCUGCCUCCAACGAGACACAAAUACAUAUCGCGUCCGCGCAGUCGAGAAUAAUUAACGCCGACGUUUCAUCAGCUAAACUAACACGAUAUUUAGUGAUCCAUUGUUCUCGAAAAACUUCAACGAGUUGGCUGCCUACGGGUUUUAUCGGCGUUAUUCCGUUUGUCAAAAUCGUGUUUCCAAUAUUUUCGAGUUAAUUCGGAAAUGUAUUUUCGUGUGUCUAUAAAAGGAUAAGUCGAUAAUAACUGACAUUCGAAUAAAUGUAUUAUGUAUCAAUUAUAGAGAAAUUAAAUUAUCGGAGUUUUAUUUUUACAAUUUGAAAUGAGGUUGAAUUGAUUUCAUGAUCUUGAUUUGUUUUUAGAGAUAUUUGUUAAUUUUUAAUAAUAAUUAGUGCAUACGUAUGGCAAUGUUCUAUUUUCUGUCAUUAAUUUCUAUUUCUACCUGUUGGAAUCUAAUUUUUGUAUAAUCAUGAUAAACCUAAAACGGAGAUCGAACAUAUAUUCUAGAUGCUAGUGCUUGUAUUGGCUACCUACGUAUUUAAUUUGAUUUUCCAAUUCAUUAUUUAUAAGUGUCCUUUUAUCGUAUAAAAACCUGUUUUAUGUAAAGUAUGUUAGAAGCGAUGGUUCGAAUAAAGACAAUUAAUUUUUCCCAUGCCUUGUAUUUCCCGUGAUGAAGUAAUCCUAGGCUAUAUUAACCCUUUAUAGGGCAAAACUUCCUCAGCAUUUCUUUUUCCACUUUUUUUUGUGGAUGAGGGUAGAAACUUAAACAUACAAAAUUCCCUUCCUUAGUGAUGACAAUGAGUACCGGUGACCUAUAAAGGGUGAAGGUCACGUCGAGGCAACUUCAUUUCCUUUUUUUUAAGUUACGACAAGGUACUGAACAAACAUACGUGGUGCUAAUGACAAAAUAGGUCAUCUUGAUAUUUCAGAAAAUAGAAAACAUAAAAACAUAGUGUAUCUCAUAUUAUGCAUAUUAUACAAAAUACAUUUCAUAUUAUACAUAUUAUUAUUUUCAUAUAUUCUUCAUAUAUUAUAAACGCAUAGCAAAUAAGAAAUUUUGUUUUUUUUUUUUGUUACUUGAUUUUACUUAAAUUUUAUAACAUUUUCAAGAACACGAGAUAUAUAAGCCUGACAAGCAAUAUUCAACAUUCAUUGACGUCAAAUAAAAUAUUAGCAUAUAAAUGUGCUCGAUCUAAUAUCUUCAGAUCUAAUAUAAGUUUCUUAAAAUAUGAUCAUCAUAGAGAAAUCUGUAUAUUUUAUUAUAGUACUUAAUCGUAAGCCUGAUACCAAUUUAAUACCAAUUAUAUCGAUCUUCGUAUCAUUAAAACUGUAUUACGUUCCUGUAAAUAACAAAAUCAUUUUCAUUAGAAUAUGAAUACGACCAGCCAUAUUGCAAAACUUUAUUUUAUUUUUAUCUGUGAUGACAAUAACUAUCAAAUAUAGUUUGCAAUACUUUUCGUGAAUUUGAAAUAAAUUUCUUAAACAUGGAUGUGGGAGGACCCUUCGAUCGGAACUUAAAGCAGGUAUUUUGUUUUGUCUGUAGUAUAACGUACGACUGUUCAAACGUCAAAAGUUGCCUUAGUGGUUUCGAGGAGCGACAUAUUUCAAAGAAAAUAUUAAAGUGCCAUUAGCAGAGAUUUUUACCUUUCCGUUACAAUGCUGAAAGAGACUGGUUCGACACCAUCGCGAUUCGAAGAAGUCGUACGUAGUUCUGAAUAAAAACAGCGACACGUUUACAGCACCGAAUACAAAACUGGCCAGGCUUUUUUAACGUAUCCCGAUUGCAUGGGCGCAUACCUUUAUCCAGUAUGUCUGCAGAAUUUCGAGAACUCUUUUGCGCAGUUGGUCGGCUCCUCUUCUCCGUAAAAAAGAGGCCUGCACGAAACGCUCGCGCGUAUUCACAAAUUUAUCGAGCCUUUUUCAGAUAUUUGCUCACGGCCUUCGCCGAUUAAAUUUAAAUGCAUUUAUGUAUAUUACGUCCGUUCUAAAAACCAGCUAUUUUAAUAACGUCGCAGCGGAAUCUUGGAAUUUUUUAGAUCCAAGGUUCCCCCGAGGCAUUCGACGUUUAGUAUACAUAUAGGACUUGAUAAACGUAGGUAAAUUCCUUGAUUUUUUUUCGUGAUUCAAGGAGGAAUACCACCACGAAGGCCGAGAAUAAAGCUGGUUUGGGGAAUUUUAUUCCUAAAGUGUUUUAUUGAUGUAUUAAACCUAUUAAAUUCUUUCUUAAAAACAUUAUUGCCGGUACAUGCAAAUACUACUUAGUUAUACUUAUAGUACAGUUACUAUGUAUAAUAUCAAUUAAUCAUUACUUAAACAAUUACCGUCGAUAUCAUUUAAAAAGAAUGUAUUAACUUGGUGAUCUCCUACCGACGUUUUUAUUAAAUUUAAAUGUGUAAAUAAAACAAAAUAAAAGAAAUUUAAUUUCUCGGUAUCUCGACGUCUCUUCAUUUUCAUUAACAAUUUAUCGCCAGUAACGUUAAAACAAUUUGCAACUAAUAAUAAUAAAACUAUGCUGCUCAA
Long non-coding RNA from Hylaeus anthracinus, 3758 nucleotides. RefSeq lists it as uncharacterized. Lineage: Eukaryota; Metazoa; Arthropoda; Insecta; Hymenoptera; Colletidae. The record is from RefSeq and is a predicted model, not a curated record. The transcript has 3 exons.